AUUGAACGCUGGCGGCAGGCCUAACACAUGCAAGUCGAGCGAGCGGCGGAAGGGUGAGUAAUGUAUGGGGACUGCCCGAUAGAGGGGGAGAACUACUGGAAGCGGUAACUAAUACAGAAUACUAUCGGAUAACCCAUAUGGGAUUAGCUAGUCGGUGAGGUAAUGGCUAACCUAGGCGACGAUCCCUAGCUGGUCGUACAGGAUGAGCAGCCACACUGGGACUGAGACACGGCCCAGACUCCUACGGAGGCAGCAGUGGGGAAUAUUGCACAAUGGGCGCAAGCCUGAGGCAGCCAUGCCGCGUGUAUGAAGAAGGCCCUAGGGUUGUAAAGUACUUUCAGUCGGGAGGCGUUACCGACAGAAGAAGCACCGGCUAACUCCGUGCCAGCAGCCGCGGUAAUAC
This 403-nucleotide ribosomal RNA is filed under the name uncultured bacterium. RNAcentral's name for it is "partial 16S ribosomal RNA". It matches the Rfam family "Bacterial small subunit ribosomal RNA", at positions 30 to 526 of the family's 1533-position model. The record is from RNAcentral.